Molecule: long non-coding RNA, 1249 nt
Organism: Fopius arisanus
Lineage: Eukaryota; Metazoa; Arthropoda; Insecta; Hymenoptera; Braconidae
Exons: 3
Source: RefSeq, a predicted model, not a curated record
AGUCACGACACUGAAUUCUGAGUGGGUGGAGAGACUCUCUUGUCAGUUAUUGUCUUCAUAUUUCUCUGUUGGAUUUAUUCAUUUGAUUCUACUCGAUUGUAUUCACGCUGUUGUUGAGAAUUUUCUUCAUCUCUAGGAAAAUCAUUACUUUUGUCAAGUAAAUUUACUUGACAGAAUGAAAACGGUGAGCGUUGGAUAUUAUGAGGUUGAUUGUGAAUAGUCGGAUAUUCACCUGGUAUCGCACACCUCCAUCCUCAUCAUAUUUUCAUUAUAAUACAAUCUCAAAGCCGCGAGUCAAUUAUGCGAUCGCGUGUCUGAGGGAAUCUCUCGAGUUUCUGGAAAAUAGUGGAUUCAUACCGAUGGGAUUGUGGAAGAAAUGGGGGAACCACUGUUUUAUUAUGCUUGGCAUUAGAAUAAAGAUAAUUUGAUGAAUGGUGGGAUAGAGAGGGUGCAGGUCCACUUGUGUCUUCAUCUUCAAUACAAGACUCAUCCUCAUCCUCAUCUGGAAUAUGUGAGUACUCAGAGUCCAUAACUGUAUCUUUUCCGUGAGCGUUAUAUGCGUACCCAUUGCGCGUAAUACGCGCAACUCAUGCAGGAAGUCUAAGCCAGUCAUCCGAGAGAGAGAAAAAGAGAUAAUUUUCACGCUGAAUUGUUGGAAAAACUCGAUGGCCAAAGAAUUCUCGUGAAAAAGGUGAAGACAAAAUUGAAAACUACCAAUGUACAAUUUUCUUCAUAGAAAAUAAGAAAAUCAAAUCCAUGAAAAUGCCCUUUUCAGUGCAUGCAUCUAAACCAAUUGUUUCUUUGUGUAUUGCGUGAUCAAUUGAUGGGAAAAAUUCCCAAACGAUUUAUUCAAUGCAAUGGUGAAGAAAUAUGGAACACGUUGUGUAGAACAAGGCAAUUCGUCUAUGAUGUCUGUGUGGAAAUUUUGGCAUGACAACUUUUCUCUCCCACUUGAGAUAAUUUAUAACACCAUAAACCAUAAACUAGCACAACUUCCUUGGUAAAUAUAUACCUUGAAAAUUUAUAAUACGAAAGAUACUAAUGCGACAGACAAUCGUAUGUCAUUCUUUUCAUUUACCUUUUAUGAAUGGAAUCUAGGACUCGAGGGUUUUACAUUACAAUUUCUCGAGUUUCAUUCGAGGAAAAAAAGAAAUCUUUCUGAUUAGUGUAUUAAUAUUGGAACUCGAUUUAAUUUUCUUCCGUAGAAAGGAUAAAAAAUGUUAAUAAGUCGAUUCAUAUGAAUAAUUUG